CUGGGAUUAGCUGAAGAUUAAAGCAACCGCUCUAGCUAGUUUAAAAGUGAGGGAAAAGAUAGGGAAUUUAAUACUUAGAAAAUUCUUAGAAGAGUUGAAGGGCUAGGUUUUAUGUUGAGCUGAGCUUUUGGGAAUACUCCCAGACACGACCACAUCACAGAAACUGGCCUGGGGAGGAAACAGUAUCUCUACUAUAGUUACAAAGCUGAGGAAUCAGGAAGCUCUUUUCCUUCCUGCUGGCUCCAGAAGUACCCUGCUUUAAUUGUCAUUCAGCAAUGACGGAGUUUCACUCAGAAAUAUUGAUUCUAGGGCCAUGCCACAUGGGCCGGAUCUCAAUAGCAAAAUGGAUGUCUGGGGUGCAUUUUCUGUCACCACUUAACUGAAUUCUGAAUUCAAGUCUUACACAAGUGCAUAUGACAGGCAGGACCUAAAUCGAGUGUAGGUAUAGGAGUUUGGGAAAUGUUUCACUCUCUGCUGUCUCUGCAAACCAUAGAGGACCACAGAAGGCAGUGGAAACAGAGGUCAGAUCACUGGGAUUCACGUCAUGUGCCCUCCUUCAGAACUCAAUCA
This is a long non-coding RNA of Phyllostomus discolor (pale spear-nosed bat), 570 nucleotides long. RefSeq lists it as uncharacterized. The transcript has 2 exons. Lineage: Eukaryota; Metazoa; Chordata; Mammalia; Chiroptera; Phyllostomidae. The record is from RefSeq and is a predicted model, not a curated record.